RNAcentral lists this transfer-messenger RNA (398 nucleotides) under Flavobacteriaceae. RNAcentral's name for it is "Psychroflexus sp003931895 Standard tmRNA". It matches the Rfam family "transfer-messenger RNA". Rfam says of the family: Bacterial tmRNA, also known as 10Sa RNA or SsrA, is named for its dual tRNA and mRNA-like properties. Its role is to liberate the mRNA from a stalled ribosome. RNAcentral also lists the same sequence under 1 other name. Lineage: Bacteria; Pseudomonadati; Bacteroidota; Flavobacteriia; Flavobacteriales. The record is from RNAcentral.
GGGGUCGAUUUGGUUUUGACAGCAAGACUUAUCGAGGAGUAAGCACGUCGAGCGUUGGAAUAUUGCUCGUAAAUCUCAUGUUUCAUCCUUUUUAAACGGCGAUAAUAACUACGCCUUAGCUGCGUAAUCUGAAUCACAGUAGGAUACGCUUAAUCCCGACGAGGUCGGGAGCUAAGAUGUCUCUGGAAAGCCUUGAUUUAUGGCGUUCCAUCAAGAGGCACCGGUAAAGUAAAUCUAGAUAGAGUAGUGUCUCGAUGCUCUAUUGAAAUUUGAGAGACUAGGUGUAAAGUAGGUAGUUUCUUGCCGGCUUUGCAUUGAAAUUAAAGCAGAAACUAAGCGUGUAGAAGGCUGUUUGGUAUCUUGUUUGGACGGGAGUUCGAGUCUCCCCGACUCCACAU